Molecule: long non-coding RNA, 2417 nt
Organism: Lepisosteus oculatus (spotted gar)
Lineage: Eukaryota; Metazoa; Chordata; Actinopteri; Semionotiformes; Lepisosteidae
Source: RefSeq, a predicted model, not a curated record
CAGCCUGCUAGAAUCUGUAAUGUCGGAGGCUUUAAGACCCAGGGGGUACUAUUUACAAACGGAGCCCUUCUGCAGUCAGUCAUUGCUGCGUCUAAUGUUUACAGCCAUGAGUUCCUGCCACCCUCACUUUCUUCUGUCUUUAAUUUCUCUUUUUUCUUUGGCGGCAGGCCAAUUUGGCGAAACUAAGCUGCAGGAUCGCCCGUUUGCGGUAUUGCAGCAUCAGAACCUGGCUCUGCUGCUGAGUGUGCUCAGCGUCCUGCUGGUGAUCAUGGUGCUGAUGGCAGUCUGCGUGUACAGACCCCUGUACCGCCGAUAGCCGCUGUCCAGAGCUGGGACUCGUUGAAGAAUGGCAGUGCCAGGCUGUGGGCAUCUCUGCACAUGAGCCAGCCUUACAAUGACAGUGCACCGCAAGUUAGUCUUGACCUGCAAGCUUCAGCCUUUCAAAGCAGUCUGCCGGGUAUGUGUUACCUGCAGAUGUGCGUGCUUACCCUUACUGUAAUUCAUUCUAUGGCCUUACUCCACAGCCUGUCAUUAUGUUUCUUUGUGAAGCCCCUUUACCUUGUGUUUCUACCCCCAAAAAAAUCCUGUUCAGUAUUGGAGGGCCUUGGAAAGUAUUAUUUUUAUGCUUGGAAAAUGCAUAUCCCAUUGCACUGAAUAUUCAUUUUUCUGCAUUUGCGUAAAUUGGAUUUGCACGCUUUUGUGAAUCAAUUCGGAGCUUUCUUGGUGACCUUCUUCGUUGCAUUCUCCUUUCUCAAGUAUGAUUCCAUUCGAAGAAGGAAUCCAUGGGUUUAUCCAAAACAGUGGUUCCAAACGCUAGUCCUGAUGUUUUUUUAUAUAUAUAACUGAGAUCUAAAUCCUCAGUGCUAAUUGACGACUUAAUUGAUGUGUUUUCUUGUUUAGACUUUCAGCUUGUUUCUUCUGUAAGUCAUAAGUGUCAAAAAAGCCCUACUUCAGGAAUAGUCCUACAACUUCAGAACACAGAACGCAGCCUUUCCUCAACUUGUAGUUAUAGCUAGAACUAGAGCAACCAGCUCAUACCAGUUGAUUAAUUUACAAUGAACAAACACCUGUGGCGAUGACACUAUCAAACAUGCCCACAUUGGAGAUGUCACUGUCUCAUUUCAUGCCCACAGUGGGAAUAACACAAUGAGACAUGCCUAUAUUGGAGAUGUCACUGUAAUAGAUACACCCACAGUGGGAGUAACAGACAUGCCCACAUUGGAGAUGUCACUGUCUCAGACAUGCCUACAGUGGAUGUGGCACAAUCAGACACGCCCACAUUGGAGAUGUCACUCUAACAGAAGUGACUGAACAGAAACGCCCAGUGUUUUUUUCCUUCUGCAGACCAUUUGGCGUAGUCAGGCAGCACACCUGCAUGAGAGCCCUUCUGAAACUCAGAAAUAAGUGCAGAGCUGAUUACAAAUUCCAUUUGACUUUUUAAGAGCUAAAAGCAAAUUUGUGACAAAAAGCUUAAAUCCAUUAUCCUGUGAUUAAGAACCUAGCUGACACAGAAAACAGAAUGAGCGGUGUUCCUCCAGGACCAGGGUUGGGAACCACUGCUCUAAAAGACAAUCCUGGCCAAUUAUUUGUAAGGCAUGUGUUUGCAGUAUAUGAGCAGCUUAGGUAUGCCAUACUUUUGAAAAGCUGACAAUUUUAAGAAGAAUGUAGCAAUAUCUACAUUUUCUGGUUUUAUUUAUGUUUUUAGAGAAAUCUACAGAUGGUUGAUUUUUGUUGUAAGGAGAAUUACAUUUUCACCAUUAUUUAUAUGCACACGACCAUCACAAAGGACUUUUUUGAUUGUUUUAUUUGUGUAUAUUAUGUAGUAAUGCACUACUGGAACUAACUGGAUGUACUGUAACAGCCUACUGUGAUUACUGGUUAAUGGGACCUUCUUUGUUUUAAAUUUUCAUUUCAUCUCAUCAUUUUGUGCAUAAAAGCUGAUACUUGAUUAGUGCUGUUUGAACUGCACUUUUGUUAGAUGUGACUUUUAGAUUUUUAUGUGCAUUAUUUUAACCAGUAAUGUUGUUUGGUUUGUCCUUAUUUAUUCUGACAUGUUACUGUGACAUGCUUUUGAGCAUUGUCAUCCCACAGAGUGGACAUGAUGUCAAACUUCUGCAAUGUGAAAAGAAAUUCACGGGCCUUUAAUAACUUGCUCAUAUUUGGAUUACUGCGGUUUCAUUUCACUUCCUUUGCGGGGUGGUAUGGAAUGAAUAUUGACACGGUAAAUAAGGCACAAGCAGUAUUGUGCUGGAUUCUAAAAGGCAGGAGGUCCUACAAGAUGAGCCUAAAAAAAAACGUUUUUGUCUUUGUUUUUAAAUGUAACCAUUAACCUCAGUGUACGGGAUAUACUUCCAUGAUGGAAUUUAAACACUAGAUGACAGUAAAAUGAAACAAUUAAAAACUUUGCUUCAAUUAAA